GAAAAGGUGAAGUGAGGAUGGCGCAGGGAGUCGUAAGGUAUGUGCUGGACACCCUUCUGGAUAACAUCCCUACCAGGGGUUGGUUUGUGCAAGGAGGUUGUACUUCUACUCAACAAGAAACACCCCAAAGUCUUUGGAGUCCAACUAAAGGCAAAACAUUCCUGAAGUCCAGGAUCCAAUUGUUACAUCGGCAUCCUAAGAAGUGUGAACUAAGAGGUAUGAAGUAUUCAUUCUGAUUCUUUUUACUAUAAGUAAUGAGGAUUCUCAAUACCAUACGGCUGUUACAAUUAAGGAAAGCACGUAUCUUAUCCAAAGUCUUGCAGAUAUCCAUCACUGCCAAUAAGCAGGCUUUGCUGAGUAUGAGUAAUGCAACUUGUAACUCAUAGAGUUUGCAGCAGCCGUUACCAUUUCCCCACUUUAUGGAUGAGGCAAUGGAGUCACGGAGGAAUGAAGUGAUUUGCCCAAAGAGUGCACUGAGUCAAUAGCAGAGCUGCACACAGAACGCAGAAUUCCCAGCCUUAUCCAUCGCAGUCCUUAGAUAAUAUCAUUGUAUAAAGGCUCUAUCUUUGUAAAGACUUCAGUGCUAUAAUUACCCUCCCAGGACUCUCAUGGAAACAAGAUAUUUAUAACUCCAUUAAGCCAUUCCUAGUACUUUUAUGAUCAAAGUGAAAACAAUAAAUCACGUUGUGCCCAUCAGUCGCAUGCCCAAUGUCACUCAGAAUGGCCCCACGAUGAAAGCUUCUCCUUGGUUGCUUCAAUCCAACGCUCGCUAUCUUUUGAAUGCCUUUCCUGUGUCUAAUUCCCCAGUGGAGAGGGAAUAUAUUUUGCCGUGUGAUGAGCCAUGCAUUUAGAAUGUACCAAAUAACUGGCAAGGAUGCUUGCUGCCAAUGAAGCCUACUGUUUUAUGCUACAACUGUGCUUUUAAAAGAAAUACUUUUCCUGGAAGCCCUUCAUGUUUGCCAGUUUCACCUGAAAUGAUCAAAGCUACCUCAGCAUUUCCACUAAUCCUUAUCUAGCUCUAAAAUUACGAGACAGACACCAGGAGUGACUGUGAGCAGGUCAGCAGCUAGGGCAAUGGGACUGGCGCAGGGAAGUGCUUUAGCAUGUGCUUGAAUUGAAAUCCAUUCUCAUUCUGCAAAUCAAUGAAGUAUUUGCUGAAAGCAAAACACAUCUUUGAGUUUUGUUGGCACAAUGUUGAAGCACGACACAGAACUACAGCCUGUAGCUGCAUUUCUUUCUGAAAGGAAGUAAUUAUUUUUAGCUCACCUCUCAAUGGCCACAGCCCUAUCUUUUAGUUCCCAGUAAUCUGUUUGCAGGAGAUACACAAACCUCUGGUUUCUGUGACAAUCAGCAGCAUGGAAAAGGUCGGAUACCACCACUAAUGCCGAGAGAGACCACUCCAACUACUUGACUGCUAAGCACAGACAAGAGGCAGUCAGCGAGGCUCAUUAGAGGAAAGACAUAAAAGAAGCUGCAAUUACUCCGCGAGGCGGCUGCUGAUAUGAAGGGUUAUCUGCUCACUUGGCUGACUGGAGAGGAUUCACUUGCAGCAGUUCAACAAAUUUAAUAGAUGAUUUGAUGAGUUUUCUGCCAAAUGCUGUGUUUCCACUGAUUUAUCGAGGGUCCAGAUGAGGCCACAAAGAUGAUCAGAGGGCUGCAGCACCUCCCCUACAAAGACAGGCUGAGGGAGCUGGGCUUGUUCAGCCUGGAGGAGAGAAGGCUGCGGGUGACCUCAUUGCAGCCUUCCAGGACCUAAAGGGAGCCUACAAACAGGAGGGGAGAUAACAGCAGGACAAGGGGAAAUGGUUUGAAGUUGAAGGAGGGCAGAUUUAGGCUGGAUGUCAGGGGGAAGUUCUUUCCUAUGAGAGUGGUGAGGUGCUGAACAGCUGCCCAGAGAGGCUGUG
This 1904-nucleotide long non-coding RNA is filed under the name Gallus gallus (chicken). Its description in RNAcentral is "long non-coding RNA NONGGAT006590". Lineage: Eukaryota; Metazoa; Chordata; Aves; Galliformes; Phasianidae. The record is from RNAcentral.